UUUCUUUGUUAAUAUUUAGGAAUUAAUGUCAAUCUUUUAUUUCUUUGUAAGUCUGUUAAUCUUCUGUAUCGAAUGAACUCUGUAGAAUCUUCCAUCACAGUUUGCAGAUCAGAUGAAAAGUCUCUUUCCAACAGUCGAUGUCCAGUUGUCUGAAGGAAUGCUUUCCUGAUUUAUUGCCACAAGGAUCUGUCAUGCUUUACCAGAUCAGUUAUCUCUGUCUAUUUCGUUGCUUCAGCCACACAGAUGCGCAG
Non-coding RNA from Pelobates cultripes (western spadefoot toad), 251 nucleotides. Lineage: Eukaryota; Metazoa; Chordata; Amphibia; Anura; Pelobatidae. The record is from the annotation of a GenBank genome assembly.